AAUUUUUAAGAAGAAAAUAACAAUCGAUUAUAGGACCACAUCUUGAAGGACAUUUACCCAAAGCUUCACUGCUCUGAAGCAUGCUCAAAGGGAGGUCAUGGGAGCAGGGUGCUCCUUGGAAAUGUUUAGACAAAUCUGGGUGGCAGGUUGGGGACACAGCUGGAUGAGCUCAUAGGUAAAACAAGAUGAAGAUUGUAGAUGGGAUUCAUCUAUUAAUGCAUCUGUAAGGAGCUUCCCCCAGACAGGAUCAGAGAAAAACACUGGAGGCUCAUAUUUUGCAAACUGCAGUCAUUCCUUCAAGAAGUCAUUAUGGAGUACAUUCUGGGUGCCAGGCACUGAGCUAAACACAAGAGGAAUUAUGGGAGUAAAACAAGUGAUCCCUGCCCUCAUGGACAUUAGGGUCUGGCAGUAUGUUAAGGUGAUGGGUGAUCAACUAGUUUUAAACUCCAGGAGGAUCAGGAAUUAACUUCUCCCUCCUUUGAAUAGAUUUGGAGUCUUAUGAAUUGGGGUUAAAUCUGGCCUCCUUCCUCUUUGUGUUAAAGAAGUUGCACAUCUGUAGUCAGGUUGCUGCUUCUAUUAUAGCAGAGGUACUUCCCUUACCCUGAGAUGUGGAUUCACUUAGUCUGGGGUGGGUCCCAGGCAUGGAUACUGUUAAAGCUCCCUUGGUGAUUCUGAUAUGCAGCCAGCAUAGAGAAGCACUGCUUCAAAGUAAGCAUUGUUUUAUUGGUGCAUUCACUGGUUUGCUUAUCAAAUAUUUAUUGAGCACAUACUAUAGGCCAAGCCAGAUAUAGGUACAGGAAUCCCCAGCACCCAAAAAAGUGAUGAGUCCAUGAUGGAAACUAUUCAUGGAAGGAAGGAGGGAAAGAAGGAAGGAGGGAGGGAGGGAGAGAGGGAAGAGGGAGGGACAAAGGAAGGAAAAAAGAAAAAGAAAAGAAGGAAAGAGAAGAAAGAGGGAAGAAGGGAGGGAGGACUCAUCCUGCACUUCUUCUAUCGCCCUGCCCCUGUCACACCUGUCCUCCUGUCCUCUCACCUCCCAUUUCCCCUCAGGAGUCUCAGGAAGCAGGAGUUUGUGCCACUUCCACAGCACAAACACAACAGAGAGAACGGGGCUAUUUCAAGCACAAUGCUUAAGCACCCUGGGCAAAGGAAACCAGAAUCUUGGUGCUGAAAAUGGGUCACCCCCAAAAAGAUACAAUUACCUUUCUUGCCCCAAAUUGAACCCAAAUACAUUGCAAAUGGAAGCCACUGGGAUCUGAGAAGCUAAGUGCCUUGAUGGUAAACGGUCAUGUGACAAUCUCCUGAUGCCAAGUUGGUGUCCUUUCCAUGGUGCCCUGUGCCCUCGACCUUUUCUGUUAUGAGAACCAUGAUUGCCACCAGUUCUGAGCACUUCCUCCCUGCUGGGCACUGUGCUAAGAGUGCCCUAUGCUGUUUCAUCCUUACCUAGAGGCAGGCCAUAUUACUCCCCUCUAGGGUUGAGGGGAGUUUUCUCUAGCUUAGAGAAAACUCAUCUAGGAAGUGCAGAACCCACAUGAGAAGCUGGGUCAUCCUGGGAGGAGCCAGGGGGAACGUGCUUUCUUUUACACCAAGUCAGUCAGAAUGUUUAUUGCAUAAUCAUUUCUCCCUUUAGAGAGGGUCUGUGUCUUCUUUAUCUUUGGAUUCCCAGCUCUUUGCACCCUGUCUGGCCACACACAGGCACUGACUAAGUUCUUAAAAUGGCAGAACAUAACUAGCACUUACCACUAUUGAUAAGUAUAUAUUCAUAAGGUGUUUGCUUAAUGCCUAUCUCUAUCACCAGCCUUAAGCCCACAAGGGCAGCGACUGGCUCUGUUUUCUGCAUCUUGUACCUCCAGCAUCCACCCUCUAGGCCCUCAGCAAGCAGCUUUUGAGUAGAUGGAUGCUUGGCUCCGUGGAGAUUUGGGGCACAAAGUCAGAACACUGUGAGUACCUGGUGGUAAUAGCUGCCUUCAGAUCACCAGAGAAAAGGAAGCUACCCCAGAAGACAAGCCGAGACCCCGAGAGGAACAAGACCCUGCAGUAGUUAGGUAAGAAAUAAGGACCAGAGGCAGAAGGGGCUUCCCUGCCUCCAUUUUCAGAUGGGGCUUCUUGGAAGCUCUGCCACAGCUUGUCAGCAACACUCACCCAGACCAGGCAGUUAACCAGGAACCAGAUUAGCUGGGAACCAGCUGUGAGGUCCAAUGUGCUCAACUACAACUCAAGAUGCCGGCAGCCCACGUAUGGAGCUCGUGGCCUGGGCUGCUCAUCCUGUUCCCCAGUAAACAAAGGCCAAGUCCAGCACUCCCCGGCCCCGUGAUCAGACGCCCCAUGGUUGUGUUUCAUGUUCUUUGCCCUGUAUUCACCCAGUUUCAAGGUUGGACUCAAAUCCAUCAGGAGAGGCAAAAACACUGAAAGACGGGCAUGCUGUCAUUGUCCUUUCCACCGAGGUCACAGUGCAUGA
RNAcentral lists this long non-coding RNA (2455 nucleotides) under Homo sapiens (human). RNAcentral's name for it is "non-protein coding lnc-ATG2B-19:1". The record is from RNAcentral. Lineage: Eukaryota; Metazoa; Chordata; Mammalia; Primates; Hominidae.